This is a long non-coding RNA of Phlebotomus papatasi, 4196 nucleotides long. RefSeq lists it as uncharacterized. The record is from RefSeq and is a predicted model, not a curated record. NCBI's taxonomy places the organism in Eukaryota, Metazoa, Arthropoda, Insecta, Diptera, Psychodidae. The transcript is spliced from 2 exons.
GCAUUCUUUCCUCUCUGGAUGACGUUGAUGGGGCAGCCAAAAAGCUUUUCUGGUGAUCAUUCCUUGGACGCUGAGCGUCUCGCCACGAAGGAGAGACGAUCAAGAAAAUUCGCGUGUGUGGGUCAAGUUGAGAUUCUCCUCGCAAAGAUUUUAUUUAAAACGGAAAUUCAGUUGCUUUUGGGAAAUUCACGGUGUCACAGCGAGAGAAUUUCUCCUACUCGAGACUUUUCUUAUCCCUCCGUGGAAUCACUCGAAAUUCCGUUCUAACUGUGGUGUCCAAUUGAGGAUUAAAUCUCUGUCCAAAAAGCGCUCAUUUCGUCAACAAAACCUUGUACAAAAAUGACCACACAUUAUCCCUUGAGAUUUGGCCAGCAGCGAUUCAGUAGACACGGCGAUGAAAACUUGGAGGCUCCAAUUCAAUAUCAAGUAAGAACUUUUGUAAAAAAAAAAACUCUCAAUUCGAAAGCUCAUCAUUUACUCUCCAAAAAACAUACAUAUUAAUUAAAUAAAAAUAAAAAUACAAUAUUGCCACAAUUUAAAUAAGUGUUAGAAAGCACACAAGAAAUCACAUUGAAAUACUUCAUUUUUUUGGGACUUGAAAUUUUCUUCAGUAAAUUCAGUGAAUUAAAGCUAUCGAGGGGUUAUUUUUGUGGAAUUUUCAGCCGAAUUCGAGGAUGAUUUUGAGCAAAUGUUCUAAGAGAGAAAAGCAGAUUUAAAACAUUUACGUAUAAUGGUUUGAAUGAUUUUGGUGAUUGAUUUAAAUUGCACACUAAUCUGCAGAUAGACUUUAGGUUUAGACCUCAAACCCCUCAAACCCUCUUUGCUGUGAUAACUGUUCCCAAAUCGCCAGGGGACAGUCACAAAUGCUUACAAAAAUACUUUUAAAUAGAUUUUAUGAUACUCUUUUAGCCCUCUUAGCAAUAUUGACAAUGUUUGUUCUGAAAGGCAGUGCUUGGGAUUAUAUUUGGGAACAGUUUUCAGAACUCUCCAUUAUAAUACUUUAGACACAGUUAACACUCCAAACGCAGAAUAGACCCAUUAAAAAUGAAAUGUAACAGAAAUUUAUUCAGAGAUGAUUGAUUUGAAUGUUUGAGAACAGUUUUAAUUAGGAUUUUUCACGGUCGUGAAUCAGGGGCUAUUCCAAUGGAAAAUUAAAAGGGGAAAUCUUUCUCCUUAACAUUUUUUUUUAAACACUACUGUUCUCAAGGUAUUCUGCAUCAUCGACGCAAAGAUAAGUAAAUUAUGUAGGACAAUUGAGAACAGUAGUGCUAAAACAAUGUUUGUUUUUCAUUGAAAUAGCAUCGCAAAGCUUGGCUAGAAACUAAAAUUUCGUACAAUUCUCACUGAUAAUUGAAAAUUCCUUACAGAAGCUGUUUCUAAUGUACAAAAUCACCAACAGUUCUCACUAUCUACUUACCUUUGGAUACUGUCACUGUCAAAUCCACAAUUUUAAUUACUACAUAAAACUUUUCCUUAAUUUUUAAAUUGGAAACAUUUGGAAACAGUCAAAAUCAUUAAAACUACCUGUAAAAACUGUUCCUAACCCCUUUAAAAUAACUAGAAACCUUAGGAACACUUAAAAAAUUAAAAGUUACACUUGGUAAGUUAAAUUUUAAAGCAAAGUAAACAGUUCUUACUAUUUAUUAAUUUUGUAAAGGAUUGAAAAUUGUAAUCAGAUAAUGAAACCGUUUCUUUGCUCAUCAAAUUUAUUGCUGGCACAUUACGACAUGUCAUUUCCUACGACUGCAGAUAGAAAGAAAAUGGAGUUUAGAACAGUUUCAAUUUGGAAAGACAAAAUGUUAAAAGCCCAGCAGCAACUGUUCCCUAUAAUCCUUUAAAUAAUUUGGGUAAAUUAGUUAUAUAGAGAAUAUUGACUUGUGGGGGGUCACCGAAGACCGGAAGUCAAUAUCUUUUACCGUUUGGCUGCUAAGAUGGAGAGAAGUUGAAAAAAACACGAUUGUUAAAACUUCUCUCUCUUGGAGUUCGAGCAGUUAAAAAUGAAAUUUUAACUACAAUUUGAUUAAUCCAAGAAACUGUUUUACGUAUUGCGAACUGACAUUAACAGAAAUAAGAGUCAAUGGGAAAACUGUUCCUAAAGGAUUUAGGAUUAAAAUAAAGUAAUCAUCUAGAGUUACAAUCAUUUGCUAUAUAAAUUAUAUAAUGAUGCAGAUUUUCAUCGCUUUAUAAAUUUGAAAAUUAUGAUUAUCGCACUUGGAAACAGUUCAAGAAUAAAUAUUUAAAACAAACUGUUCCCAAAGUUAUUAAGAGUUGUAAUUUGUCUUGAAUUGGUGAUACAUUUUUUCUUCUUUAUAAACUUUAAUGUAUCUGAAGUUUUAAAAUGAAAAUAGAAAAAUAGGAACAGAAACUCCAGAAACUGUUCCUAAUAUUUUAGUAAUCACAAAUAAUCUGGAAAUAAAUACACACAAACCGUUUCAAAUUGGAGCUCUACAGUAACGGUACCUCAUCCUUUUGAAACGUAAAAUUUCUUUACAUUGAGAACUGUGUAAAUUUAAAUUGAAAUGUUGUUUCUUAGCAGCAACUGUUCUCAAACAUUUUAGAAGUAAAACCACCCUCACAAAUUACAUAGAAAAAUCGACAAUUAAAAAAUGGAAAUUAUGGCUGAAUGAAUAUGCUUUUAACUUGAGUAACUAAUAUUUCUCAAAGAUUAGGAACAGUUUAGAAAUCAAAUCUCUCUAUAAACUGUUCCUAAUGAUUUUAAAUAUUACAAGUCCUCUGAAAAUAAGGAAAGAAGCAAGGAUAGUUUGAAAAACGUCAAUGAAAAUAUGUAGGCCCGCUUUAGGUUAAUUUAAGAACAGUUCAGAUUGGGUACAGUCUGAACAGUUCAAUCUCCAAAGAUAAAUCCAGUGAGACAUUAUAGAUUCCUUCAAUAUUUAGUUCACUUUAAAGAAGCCGCACAUUAUUCCUUUAAAGAACUGUUCCCAAAGCUUUUAAGGUUUUUUUUAAACCUUAAACCUUAAGGAUUUUGCGUUGUCUGUGAUGGCAGGCAUUUUAGGGCGGAUAUGUAAGGCGAAGCUAUUAAUGAGCAUGACUUAAGUACUACGUCCUUUGGUACGGGACCCCUUUAAAAUUCAUCUUUGGUCAUUUUGGACUGAAAAUUUCACCAAUAACUACCCUCAAAUUUUGCAAAGACGUGGAAAAAUGUCAGCUUAAGAGUAUUAGAUGUUACCAUUGAGCCCAGUUGGUGGAUUUUUCUCCCUCUUCCCGGCCGAUUUGUGAUGAUUCGGAGGAUAUUGAGGAGUCUUCUUCAUGGCCUCCAUGGCAUCCUGUUUGCACCUCAGAACAACAUCUUCGAGAGUUUCAGCUGCCUCAUACUUUCCCUGGCGCCUGUAUAGGGCAGCUAGGUUCUUUAGGGUGGUGGUAACAGUUGGUGAAUUAACCUUAGCUGCCCUCAUCCAAGCUCCGUGCUCUGCAAAAGGUGUAUUCUCACGAUUUCUCUCCUUAUUCUCCUCUCGCUCCUCAGCAAUCUGCCAGAUAACUUUGUUAUCCCCAUCGAUCGGUCCGAACUCCUUCUCGUGGGCCCUAGUCAAAACUUGCUUGUAUAGCGUAUCAGCUUCAUGAUAUUUUCCCUGCUUGAGGAAACAGCUGGCCAAGUUAUUCUUCGUCUUGGCCACAUUGGCAUCAUCUGGCCCCAAUUUCGCUUCAUAGAUUUUCAAUGCUCGCUGAUAGUAAAUCUCAACUUCGUCGUAUUUUCCCUGCCCAACCAAGCAACAUUAAAAUGUUAGAAAAAAAACCACCUAUAUGAAUCACUAUGUUAUUUAACAAUACAGAGAAAGAAAUCCCAUCAUUUCAUUGAUUUUUGAAUAAUUAAAUGAAUUUAGUACAAAAUUUAGUACACCUAAUUAUCAUUGCAGUAUUUCUAGAAGUGAGAAGAAAUCGGCAUAAUUCUUUAGGAAAUACUUUUAAAAAUCUUACGAUUGACAAAUGUGUUACCUUUGUAAUAAUUAAUCAGGUUUAGUACUUAUUUAGUACACAUAUUAUUUAUUAUUAUAGGCAUUUUAUGGGAAUGAAAUCGACACAAUACUUCAGGAAAUUCAUUGAAAAAUUAAAUAUCUGUCAUUUUGAUAGAUUUUAAAUAAUUGAAUAAGUUUAGUACUCAUUUAGUACAAAUAUUUAAGGAUAAAAUAUACUGAAAGAUUGAGCAAAAUUGCUCAACAAAUAUAUAGUAAAAAAAUAAA